AACGUAGACCUCAAGCGUUAUCCGGAUUUAUUGGGCGUAAAGCGCGUGUAGGAGGUCCUGCGCGUCUUCUGUUAAAGCCCGGGGCCUAACCCCGGAAGUGCAGGAGAUACGGCAGAACUAGAGGAGGUUAGAGGUGCAUGGAACGCACGGUGUAGGGGUGAAAUCCGUUGAUAUCGUGCGGAACACCAAAGGCGAAGGCAUUGCACUGGGACCUUCCUGACUCUGAGACGCGAAAGCGUGGGGAGCAAAAAGG
Molecule: ribosomal RNA, 253 nt
Filed under: uncultured bacterium
Lineage: Bacteria
Description: partial 16S ribosomal RNA
Rfam family: Bacterial small subunit ribosomal RNA
Source: RNAcentral